AGAUUGAUCAUGGCUCAGAAUCAACGCUGGCGGCGUGCCUCAGACAUGCAAGUCGAACGAUUAAAGCCCUCUUCGGAGGGUGUAUAAAGUGGCGCACGGGUGAGUAACACGUAAGUAAUCUACCCUCGGGUGGGGAAUAACAACCGGAAACGGUUGCUAAUACCGCAUAAUGCAGCGGCUCCUUAUGGAGACAGUUGUUAAAGGAUUUAUUCGCCUGAGGAGGAGCUUGCGGCAAAUUAGCUAGUUGGUAAGGUAAUGGCUUACCAAGGCUACGAUCUGUAGCCGGUCUAAGAGGACGGUCGGUCACACUGACACUGAAUAACGGGUCAGACUCCUACGGGAGGCAGCAGUCGGGAAUUUUGGGCAAUGGGCGAAAGCCUGACCCAGCAACGCCGCGUGAAGGAUGAAGUAUUUCGGUAUGUAAACUUCGAAAGAAUAGGAAGAAUUAAUGACGGUACUAUUUAUAAGGUCCGGCUAACUACGUGCCAGCAGCCGCGGUAAUACGUAGGGACCAAGCGUUGUUCGGAUUUACUGGGCGUAAAGGGCGCGUAGGCGGCAUGACAAGUCACUUGUGAAAUCUCUGGGCUUAACUCAGAACGGCCAAGUGAUACUGUCGCGCUAGAGUGCAGAAAGGGCAAUCGGAAUUCUUGGUGUAGCGGUGGAAUGCGUAGAUAUCAAGAGGAACACCUGAGGCGAAGGCGGGUUGCUAGGCUGACACUGACGCUGAGGCGCGAAAGCCAGGGGA
This 745-nucleotide ribosomal RNA is filed under the name uncultured Acidobacteriota bacterium. Its description in RNAcentral is "bacterial SSU rRNA". It matches the Rfam family "Bacterial small subunit ribosomal RNA", at positions 10 to 767 of the family's 1533-position model. Lineage: Bacteria; Pseudomonadati; Acidobacteriota. The record is from RNAcentral.